UUUAGAUCCUGCGUCAGGAGUCGAACGCUGGCGGCGUGCUUAACACAUGCAAGUCGAGCGAAGCAUUCUGCUUUAAAUCUCGGAGGCGAAGCAGUCUGACUGAGCGGCGGACGGGUGAGUAACGCGUGGGCAACCUGCCUCAUACAGGGGGGAUAACAGUUAGAAAUGACUGCUAAUACCGCAUAAGACCGCGGUACCGCAUGGUACAGCGGUAAAACUCCGGUGGUAUGAGAUGGGCCCGCGUCUGAUUAGCUAGUUGGCGGGGUAACGGCCCACCAAGGCGACGAUCAGUAGCCGACCUGAGAGGGUGACCGGCCACAUUGGGACUGAGACACGGCCCAAACUCCUACGGGAGGCAGCAGUGGGGAAUAUUGCACAAUGGGGGAAACCCUGAUGCAGCGACGCCGCGUGAGCGAUGAAGUAUUUCGGUAUGCAAAGCUCUAUCAGCAGGGAAGAAAAUGACGGUACCUGACUAAGAAGCCCCGGCUAACUACGUG
Molecule: ribosomal RNA, 497 nt
Filed under: uncultured Lachnospiraceae bacterium
Lineage: Bacteria; Bacillati; Bacillota; Clostridia; Lachnospirales; Lachnospiraceae
Description: bacterial SSU rRNA
Rfam family: Bacterial small subunit ribosomal RNA
Source: RNAcentral